UAAAUAGUGGCCAUCUCAGCAUCCCCGAAUCGCAUACCUGUUAUCUCCUUUCGGUCACCCGACUUCCCCCGGUGUUGCCGAGAUCACCCGCGGAUUACCUUCCUGAAGCCUCCAUCGUGGCUGGUGACCUAACAAUUCACAACCUUAAGGAAAGUGAUGCCAGUGAAUACACUGUAGACCUCCUCAACAGUGAGGGUGAAGGCAAAGUAAAUAGGAUUAAACUCUCAGCAAAACAAAAGCUCCAGCAGCCAUCCAUCCAGAUAGUCACGAGCACAUCUGUAGAAAGUGGCUGUUUAAUGGUGGUGACCUGCUCUUCUCUGGAUGAGGGUGUUAACCUCUCCUGGAGUGUUGAACCAGUCAGUGUGCUCACCAUCAACAAGAGUAAUCCCAGUGACAGCUCUGCACAGCUUUUUGCAUUUGUCAGCACCAAAGAGAACUUUGCCAGUUUUACCUGCAUCUCCAGCAGAGAUACAGAGAGUGUUUCAUCCAAACCCGUCACACCAAAGUGUGAUAGUAAGAUCUGUGAACCCUGUUGUAACAGUCUCACUCAGUCUCAGAGCACCAAAGCUCUGCUUCACAACAAACAGCCAAUCAGGAUCAAACUCAGGUUUACUCCUCUCUUCUUCAUGGUGAUCUUUCAGUCUAUGAACCAAUCAGAGGCUCUGGAAACACUGGAAGCGAUGAAUACAACAACGCCACAUCUGGAUUUCAGCUUGAAGGUCUUGAUAAGAGGAGCAGACAUGAUGGCACAGAGGAGAGCUCUGACUACAAUAAUGUGAAUCCUGAAUCAGCCUCAGGUACA
This is a long non-coding RNA of Oreochromis niloticus (Nile tilapia), 802 nucleotides long. RefSeq lists it as uncharacterized. Lineage: Eukaryota; Metazoa; Chordata; Actinopteri; Cichliformes; Cichlidae. The transcript is spliced from 10 exons. The record is from RefSeq and is a predicted model, not a curated record.